UACGGAGGGUGCAAGCGUAUCCGGAUUCACUGGGUUUAAAGGGUGCGUAGGUGGGCAGGUAAGUCCGUGGUGAAAUCUCUGAGCUUAACUCAGAAACUGCCGUGGAUACUAUUUGUCUUGAAUGUUGUGGAGGUGAGCGGAAUAUGUCAUGUAGCGGUGAAAUGCUUAGAUAUGACAUAGAACACCAAUUGCGAAGGCAGCUCACUACACAAUUAUUUGACGCUGAGGCACGAAGCGUGGGGAUCAAACAGG
Molecule: ribosomal RNA, 252 nt
Filed under: uncultured bacterium
Lineage: Bacteria
Description: partial 16S ribosomal RNA
Rfam family: Bacterial small subunit ribosomal RNA
Source: RNAcentral